Small nucleolar RNA from Grammomys surdaster, 142 nucleotides. RefSeq annotates it as small nucleolar RNA SNORA48. NCBI's taxonomy places the organism in Eukaryota, Metazoa, Chordata, Mammalia, Rodentia, Muridae. The record is from RefSeq and is a predicted model, not a curated record. The transcript has a single exon.
CCCCCCUGGCGACGGGCAAAGAGACACCAUGUUGGUGAUGUUACUCUUCUAUCAGUCAGGGGCAGAGCAGAUGGCAGUCCCUGCUCAUCUAGCUGGAUGCCUGUCUUGGUGGCAUAAGCUAUCUUAUGCCUAGGACUCAUAA